Olea europaea var. sylvestris is the source of this 601-nucleotide long non-coding RNA. RefSeq lists it as uncharacterized. The record is from RefSeq and is a predicted model, not a curated record. The transcript has 3 exons. NCBI's taxonomy places the organism in Eukaryota, Viridiplantae, Streptophyta, Magnoliopsida, Lamiales, Oleaceae.
AAAAGAAAAAAAAAUAAUUUAGAAUAUGGCGGCAAACUCUCAAAUAUAUGGAGGCAAAACUUUUGCACGCCUCUUCACUCUCUCGCCGCUCUCGGUUCCCCAUCUCGACGCAUACAGGAUUCUCGUGUAAAAGUAAAAUAGCGUCACAGCAUGGCUCUGAAGCAAGCCAGUAUGCUUUUAUGCUUGGAAGGGGAAAUGCAUACAAAUUCUUGGGGUAAAUCCGAAUACGAUCACAGCUUAUACACACUUGAGCUGGAUAUUCGGGAUGCGGUUCUCCUUCUUGUAGACCUCCCUUUACGACCCGAGGAUAGAACACUCGGAGGGCUGAUAAAGCGCACCAUAAUUUUGCUUCCAUAGACUGUUGCAUUUCAACAUAAAUGUUGUCUUUCAGCUGUCGUGGAGAUUCGAACUUCUGAUGCUCCAUAUAGAACCCUUCUGCUUUACCAAUGCGUCAUGCCCGUGAGGGCAACGUCAAUGCUUGUUUUGCUUGCAAUGAACGUAGUAGAUUCCAUGUUUUCUAUUUUCAUGAAGACAGAGAGCAUGUCAAAUGUGAUAAAGCAACUUAAAAGUUACUUUUUCAAUAGGUAUAUCUCUAAAUAUU